Molecule: ribosomal RNA, 430 nt
Filed under: Pseudomonadota bacterium
Lineage: Bacteria; Pseudomonadati; Pseudomonadota
Description: Proteobacteria bacterium partial 16S ribosomal RNA
Rfam family: Bacterial small subunit ribosomal RNA
Source: RNAcentral
UGGGGAAUAUUGGACAAUGGGGGGAACCCUGAUCCAGCCAUGCCGCGUGUGUGAAGAAGGCCUUAUGGUUGUAAAGCACUUUAAGCGAGGAGGAGGGUACUGGUAUUAAUACUACCAGGUACUGGACGUUACUCGCAGAAUAAGCACCGGCUAACUCUGUGCCAGCAGCCGCGGUAAUACAGAGGGUGCAAGCGUUAAUCGGAAUUACUGGGCGUAAAGCGCGCGUAGGUGGUUCGUUAAGUUGAAUGUGAAAGCCCCGGGCUCAACCUGGGAGCUGCAUCCAAAACUGGCGAGCUAGAGUAGGGCAGAGGGUGGUGGAAUUUCCUGUGUAGCGGUGAAAUGCGUAGAUAUAGGAAGGAACACCAGUGGCGAAGGCGACCACCUGGGCUCAUACUGACACUGAGGUGCGAAAGCGUGGGGAGCAAACAGG